UUUGUUAUUAAAUUAAUAAUUAUACAAUGUCAUUAAGAAAUUGUAGUAAAAUAUAAUAAAAUCAUAUUGUUUAUUAUGAAGUAAAAAGUGUUCUCAAAUAAUUUUACUAAACUUACAUACGUAAAGUGCAAAAAUGGACUUGAAAACUUUCGCUGAUAAUGAAUUUGACCCCAAGGACUGGAUCAACCGAGCUUGGAGUAUUAGUGGGAAUCAAGAAAAAGAGAUAUUCAUAGCCAAUACAGUGACAAGACUUCAACUGUAUAUGAAACAACUUAGUAACUCAUUAGAUGAAACAACAACUCAAAUACUUUCAUCUGUGCCUCGAAUCAUUUAAGAUGUUUCAUCGUUACAACUAGAAGGUGGGUUACUCCAACAGAAGUUAAGGAGCUUAGAACAGCAGGUUUAGAGUGUGGAAGAAGAGACUGGGCACUCUAUUGAGAGCUUACAGAAGAUAGAUUUAUUGAAGAGCCGAUUAGAGAUACUUUCAUCUGUGCCUCGAAUCAUUCAAGAUGUUUCAUCGUUACAACUAGAAGGUGGGUUACUCCAACAGAAGUUAAGGAGCUUAGAACAGCAGGUUUAGAGUGUGGAAGAAGAGACUGGGCACUCUAUUGAGAGCUUACAGAAGAUAAAUUUAUUGAAGAGCCGAUUAGAGGUACUCUGGCAGUGGAAAUUCGAUAAACUUGCAUUUCAAAUUUAAACGUGGAAGAUCAACAAUUUCUAGAACUAUUUCGUCAGUUUGUCAAGCUGUGUGGAAAUAUCUUCGACCACAGUACAUAGAAGAGGUUACAGAAAAACAACAAAAUAUUGUAUUAGAUUUUGAUCUCACAGCCAACUUUUGCUUUGGGGCAAUUGAUGGGAAACAUAUACGUUUGAUAAAACCGGACAAAAGUUGCUCUGUUUUAUAAUUACAAAAAUUAUUUUUCAAUUGUUUUGCUGGCUGUUGUUGACUCAAAUUAUAAGUUUGUUUUUGUCGACGUGGGAGCGCUUCGACGCUUUACAAGAAUUUACUUAAUGAGAAAUGAAUUACCAUUACCUG
This is a long non-coding RNA of Pieris napi, 1036 nucleotides long. RefSeq lists it as uncharacterized. The transcript has 6 exons. The record is from RefSeq and is a predicted model, not a curated record. Lineage: Eukaryota; Metazoa; Arthropoda; Insecta; Lepidoptera; Pieridae.